Long non-coding RNA from Eucalyptus grandis, 986 nucleotides. RefSeq lists it as uncharacterized. NCBI's taxonomy places the organism in Eukaryota, Viridiplantae, Streptophyta, Magnoliopsida, Myrtales, Myrtaceae. The record is from RefSeq and is a predicted model, not a curated record. The transcript has 7 exons.
GGAGUACAAAUAUUUCUUUUGGAGAGAUAAUUUGGAUAUUAGGGCAAUGGAGAGUGCAGGCCAAAAGUUUGUGGGGGAUCAUGAUUUCAGAAAUUUUUGUAAGAUGGAUGCAUUUAAUGUCCACAACUACAAGCGUCAUCUAACAUCCUUGAACUCUCUUCUUGUGAUAAGAGGUUGGAAAGUAAUGAACUGUGGUGUUUCAAAAUUAAGGGCAGUGCAUUUUUGUGGCAUUAAGUUCGUUGCAUGGUUGCUGUGAUUUUAUGGUUGGCCAAGGUCUUGAAUCUCCUGAUAUGGUCAAGCUGCUCUUGGAAUUGGUGCUAGUAAAGAGAGAGCUAAGAAGAGAAAGCUUGUGCAGAAAAAUGACAUUCAGAAGAAACGCAUGACUGACAAUAGAAAGCAAAUUAUUGCUGCUUCUAAGAGCAGGAAUGAUGAUGGCAAGCAAAUUAUUGCUACUUUUAAGAGACAUGGAUCGAAAAAGAAAGCUGCAAUACCUGAAAUAGGUAAUUCACAAUUAAGAAAGAGAACAAUUGUAAACAAGGGUUCACGGUCUGCCAUGGAAGAAAAUGGAGCAAAGAAGGUUCAAAUGGUCCAAAUAAACAAAAGCUUUCUGGAGAGUUGAAAAGCCCACCAGUAAAGCCAAAGAAAAGAGACCGUCAUGUGAAUGAUACACCAGUGUGCAUAAGUGGCACCGCCAGAGUGAAUUUCAGCAGGUUGAUCGGGUUUUGGGCUGUUGUGUUAGAGAGAAGCAGGACAGACAUCGACAUACUACUUCUGGCGAAAUCAACUUUGAUGCAGGAGAGAGGGCUGGACUUGCUGAUGACAGACAAGCUGAUAUAAGCAUUGACAGUGAUAUCAAACUGCACAAUCUGAAUGUUUUUCAGUGGUUAUUCUCUCAUUGGCUGGAAUUUUAAUGGUAAAGCUGGAGGAAGAGUCGAAAACUGUAAAACUUGGUUGACAACAUUUCAUCUUUCUUCUAUUGAGGUUGA